RNAcentral lists this signal recognition particle RNA (192 nucleotides) under Clostridiales bacterium. RNAcentral describes it as "partial signal recognition particle sRNA large type". It matches the Rfam family "Bacterial large signal recognition particle RNA", at positions 1 to 190 of the family's 256-position model. Rfam says of the family: The signal recognition particle (SRP) is a universally conserved ribonucleoprotein involved in the co-translational targeting of proteins to membranes. Archaeal SRP consists of a 7S RNA and homologues of the eukaryotic SRP19 and SRP54 proteins. In most bacteria, the SRP consists of a 4.5S RNA and the Ffh protein (a homologue of the eukaryotic SRP54 protein). The record is from RNAcentral. Lineage: Bacteria; Bacillati; Bacillota; Clostridia; Eubacteriales.
CUGCGCUAGACGGAGAAUUAGCGGCGCUCUGUAACCUACAAUCCGCUACAGUAGGGUUGAACACCGUCCUCGGUUUGCGUAUGGGAGGUCUGUUACCGUUAGGUGGCGUUGAUGUUAAGGUCUUGUGCAACGUCUGCUUGCGAACCGUGUCAGGGCUUGACCGCAGCAGCACUAAACAAGAUGUGGCGUGUG